GGGGCUAUAGCUCAGCUGGGAGAGCGCAACACUGGCAGUGUUGAGGUCGGCGGUUCGAUCCCGCCUAGCUCCACCA
RNAcentral lists this transfer RNA (76 nucleotides) under Thiothrix sp. RNAcentral's name for it is "tRNA-Ala". It matches the Rfam family "tRNA". Rfam says of the family: Transfer RNA (tRNA) molecules are approximately 80 nucleotides in length. Their secondary structure includes four short double-helical elements and three loops (D, anti-codon, and T loops). RNAcentral also lists the same sequence under 32 other names. Lineage: Bacteria; Pseudomonadati; Pseudomonadota; Gammaproteobacteria; Thiotrichales; Thiotrichaceae. The record is from RNAcentral.